Chiroxiphia lanceolata (lance-tailed manakin) is the source of this 498-nucleotide long non-coding RNA. RefSeq lists it as uncharacterized. NCBI's taxonomy places the organism in Eukaryota, Metazoa, Chordata, Aves, Passeriformes, Pipridae. The transcript has 3 exons. The record is from RefSeq and is a predicted model, not a curated record.
CCACAAGUUGCAAAGGGCACAGGAGUUCUGUGGUAACUGCAAGCUCGAGCGAAGGAGCAGCGCCUGAGAAGCACCUUCUCCAGGUUCCUUCCCCACUGUGGUUUCACUUUCCGUGGCUCUGUUUGCUGCUGGCAGAGGUUCAGCUGGAACGGGAGAGGAGCAGGAAGAGCCUUUCCUCGGUAGUCUGACAGCACAUCCCCCCCCAGCGCAGAUUCCGUGCAAGGCAGAGCCUCUUCCGUGUCUGGGGAGCCACGAGCAGGGGCAGGAAAAACACUUGUCAUGGUUUAUCUGUCUAGCAAUGAACAUGUCUGGUGCUGGAAAAUUAACGUUUGUUACCUGUACUGCACCUACUGAUGGAACAGUUCCAGCCUGGAAUGGGCAAGAGGACCAUUUUUAAAACACUGUAGAAAAAAACAGUGCAUCAAGGAUGAACAAAGAUUUCAUUGCUUCUGGGUCUGUCUCAAAAUAAAGACAGAAAGGAAUAAAGAAAUGUGGUGG